This 389-nucleotide transfer-messenger RNA is filed under the name human gut metagenome. It matches the Rfam family "transfer-messenger RNA". Rfam says of the family: Bacterial tmRNA, also known as 10Sa RNA or SsrA, is named for its dual tRNA and mRNA-like properties. Its role is to liberate the mRNA from a stalled ribosome. The record is from RNAcentral.
GGGGGUGCAAUGGUUUCGACGGGGAUUCUGAGGUAUGAUAAGCGUGGCGAGCCGGGUAAUCUCGUAAACUGCCUAACUUAAAAAAUAAACGACAACAACACUGUUGCAAUGGCUGCCUAAUCUUUGCGCCCUCAGGGCGUGAAGAUUGGCAGUGCCGCGACCUGCGGGUCGCCCGUUCCUCCGGGGAGUACCACGGCCUCGGACUGAAUGUCAUCGAAGUGGUGAACAUGCAUCGGUGGUUCGCUCUUGAACCGAUCAUGCAAAAAAGGGCUACCCGAGGAAAUAGCGUGUCUGUUCGCGCUUUUCAAGGGGAAUUCUAAAUAACAGACUACCCACGAAGAAGGUUAUAUCAAGGGAUUUUCGGACAGGAGUUCGAUUCUCCUCAUCUC